GUGAACGCUGGCGGUAGGCCUAACACAUGCCAGUCGAACGGCAGCACCGUAAGAGCUUGCUCUUACGGGUGGCGAGUGGCGGACGGGUGAGGAAUACAUCGGAAUCUACUUUUUCGUGGGGGAUAACGUAGGGAAACUUACGCUAAUACCGCAUACGACCUACGGGUGAAAGCAGGGGAUCUUCGGACCUUGCGCGAUUGAAUGAGCCGAUGUCGGAUUAGCUAGUUGGCGGGGUAAAGGCCCACCAAGGCGACGAUCCGUAGCUGGUCUGAGAGGAUGAUCAGCCACACUGGAACUGAGACACGGUCCAGACUCCUACGGGAGGCAGCAGUGGGGAAUAUUGGACAAUGGGCGCAAGCCUGAUCCAGCCAUACCGCGUGGGUGAAGAAGGCCUUCGGGUUGUAAAGCCCUUUUGUUGGGAAAGAAAAGCAGCAGGUUAAUACCCCGCUGUUCCGACGGUACCCAAAGAAUAAGCACCGGCUAACUUCGUG
RNAcentral lists this ribosomal RNA (491 nucleotides) under uncultured bacterium. Its description in RNAcentral is "partial 16S ribosomal RNA". It matches the Rfam family "Bacterial small subunit ribosomal RNA", at positions 29 to 507 of the family's 1533-position model. The record is from RNAcentral.